UCACCUAUUACACUCCUUCAAAGACAUUGC
Molecule: non-coding RNA, 30 nt
Filed under: Rattus norvegicus (Norway rat)
Lineage: Eukaryota; Metazoa; Chordata; Mammalia; Rodentia; Muridae
Source: RNAcentral